Molecule: long non-coding RNA, 734 nt
Organism: Chenopodium quinoa (quinoa)
Lineage: Eukaryota; Viridiplantae; Streptophyta; Magnoliopsida; Caryophyllales; Amaranthaceae
Exons: 2
Source: RefSeq, a predicted model, not a curated record
AAUGUGGACCGAAGCCCAUGACUUUUACCCCAGCAAGAAAGAAAACAACAAAAAAACCGUACAAAAUUAAAUCAUGCAUAAGUGUUCUUCACUUUCGCUCUAAAAUUGCUUGAAAAUUCUCAAAUAAUUUGAGGAUCUUUUCUCUCUCCUCUCAACAAUUUAUUUUGCAAAAAAACAUCUCAAAUUCUAUAUCACAAGAUCAAAUUGAGCAAAAUCAGUAUAUAUAUGAAGACGAUCUACAAUUACAAUCUAUGUUCAAACUUUGAUUUGAACAAAUUCUAUGCAAUCGAAAGCAAUUACGAAGAAAACUUAAAUAAUCAUCCAAUUGAAUUUAGAAUAAUUCAACAAGAGUAGAAGAUGCGAAACAAGAAGUAAUACAAGUAGAGGAUGAUAAUGGAGUACUUGUAGAUCUGGUUGAGGAGGAAAAUCAACAUGUAUUAUAAGGUCAAGCAGAGAUCGAUUAUAAUCAGUUUUAAUUUGUUAUAAUCAAUUUUGAUUUGGCAUAAUCAGUUUUGUAUCGAUAUAAUCAGUUUUGAUUUGGUAUAAUUUGUAGGGCUGGCAAACAGGUCGGGUUGGGUUGGGUUCGGGUUGACCUGUUUAAUAAACAGGUCAAGACCCCCCAACCUGAACCCGACCUGUUUACUUAAACAGGUCAGAAUGGCGAACCUGAACCCGACCUAGUUUAAAUGGGUUGACCUGAUUUCAACCCGUUUGACCUGUUUUUUUUUUUUUUU